UGGGGAAUUUUGGACAAUGGGCGCAAGCCUGAUCCAGCCAUGCCGCGUGAGUGAAGAAGGCCUUCGGGUUGUACAGCUCUUUCAGACGGAAAGAAAUCGGUGCGUUUAAUACAUGCACUGGAUGACGGUACCGUAAGAAGAAGCACCGGCUAACUACGUGCCAGCAGCCGCGGUAAUACGUAGGGUGCGAGCGUUAAUCGGAAUUACUGGGCGUAAAGCGUGCGCAGGCGGUUAUGUAAGACAGAUGUGAAAUCCCCGGGCUCAACCUGGGAACUGCGUUUGUGACUGCAUAAAUAGAGUACGGCAGAGGGAGGUGGAAUUCCACGGGUAGCUGUGAAAUGCGUAGAGAUGUGGAGGAACACCGAUGGCGAAGGCAGCCUCCUGGGCCAGUACUGACGCUCAUGCACGAAAGCGUGGGGAGUAAACA
This 427-nucleotide ribosomal RNA is filed under the name uncultured bacterium. RNAcentral describes it as "bacterial SSU rRNA". It matches the Rfam family "Bacterial small subunit ribosomal RNA", at positions 355 to 774 of the family's 1533-position model. The record is from RNAcentral.